Aethalodelphis obliquidens (Pacific white-sided dolphin) is the source of this 2044-nucleotide long non-coding RNA. RefSeq lists it as uncharacterized. The transcript is spliced from 3 exons. NCBI's taxonomy places the organism in Eukaryota, Metazoa, Chordata, Mammalia, Artiodactyla, Delphinidae. The record is from RefSeq and is a predicted model, not a curated record.
AGCAGGUGAAAAGCUGAGAGGUAAAAGCUAUCCCUGGGCAUUGCUGAAAAUUCCUCAGAAAAGAAGUCAAAUUUCGAUCUUGUAAGGACUUUUCUUGAAUGAGGAGUGAGGAAAAGAGGUGGGUAAAGAAAUAAGAAAGAAAGAAAGGACUGGCCCUGGAGAAGAAAAAGAGUUGUCACUGAGAAAAUAGAGGGUAGGAUUAGGCAUCCCUCUAACCUCUCAGCCCAGGCCCACCCCGGAAGAGUGAAAAGCCAGGACUUGAGGCUGUUUCAGGCCGAAGUCCCCAGAGAACGUGCGUAGGUGUGCAUUCCCUAGCAAUAGCUGGCAGCAACGUUUCUGUCUAGAAAAGGUCACUGAAACAGAUUGGGGUUAGCCUUAAUAUUGUUUCCCUACAGAGAUCAGAACACUUGCGUGGAGGCCAGAACGCCGCCCUGCGGGUCGCCAGGUUUUCACGUGGCCCGAACUGAUAAGUGCAGUAAUGGGGCGUCGGCUGUGAGCGGGGCAGUGAGCAGUUCCGAGAAGCGCGAGGGAGGGGGGCUGGGGGCGUGCGGGGCAGGAGGGUGUGACUUCCAAACUCUUUCCCCUCCUGUGCGCUGGGAACGGCAGGGGCGGAAAGGAUGCGCUGGCGCAGGCGCUAGCCCAGGAAACUGAAGCCUGUGUUUGGCGAAAGCACCGGAAGGAAGUCGGGGAGGCCCAGCAGGAAGCCAGCUGACACAGGAAGUCAUGGGAAAUGCAGUCUACAGGAGCCAGUCCUGCUUUGACACAGAGCAGGGGGAGUAGGCUCUAUAUCCAGCAGGGAACAGACUCUGCUCCAUGUUGCCUUCACCUCAGAUCCUGGCUCUCCUCAUUGUGGUCCAGAGAAUAGAGAACAACGAUGAACAUCUGUUAGCUCUUAGAGCUCUGGCUCUGAAGUGACACAUAUCACUUCCACUUGCAUUUUAUUGUCCCAAACAAAUCACAUGGUCAAGCCUGAUGUCAACAAGGCAAGGACAUAUAACCUCAUCCAAGGGAGAAGCAGUGAAUCCUCUUAAACAACAGUACAGGCUACCACAGCAAGACACUACAGAAACUGGAUUCAUUAGAAAUGAUAAAAGUUCACCUGACAAUCUCAAGGAUUCUAAUUAAAUGAAUCCCCAAGCUUGAAGUAAAAAUGAGAAAGUUUAUUUCAAAGAUGAAUCACUAGGUACUAAGCUUAUUCUUAUCAUAAAUAUAAAAGUCAGAUAAGAAGCACCCAUCUUAGAACAAACAUUAAGCUCUCUAUAUUAUGUUACUAUCACCAUGUGAUGUGUUAAGUAUUCAUGUUUUAUUGCCCGACUGAUUCUUACCCUGUGAUAAGAGCAAGUCUCAGUAUUCAAUUGAGUGCACAGGGCAUGUGCUCCUGUGGUGUACCCACUUGGAUAAUUUCCCAUGAGCAUACAUGCCCAGGUCUAGUAUUUUCAAUAAAAACCAGUACAGAACCACAGUCUUCUCUGUCAGUGUCCCAUUUACAAGGUGUUCAAGUAUAUUCAUAGACGUGCCAGGAAAACCCAUCCCAAGGACUGCUCCAAAGUCUAGCUGCACUAGUUACCAUGCUGUGGUACCCGAAUAAAGAAAUAGGGCUUGGAAAUUUGAAUACCUGAAAAGGUCAGGUGAUAACUUUAGUGAUAAAAAGGAUGACAAAGAGCCCUUGGCCUUCAAACUCAUUGUCAGCAGGCUAGGGGGAAGGGAGGAGACUGACAAAGGGAAGAAUCUGAGCUUCUAGGAAAAGCAGGUGCUACUCAGCUCCAACCAGUGGUUGCUAUGUAGAAAAAAAAAAAAAACACCUUUUUUUCCUUAAGUUGCAAAUUAAAUUUAUGUGUGAAACCUGCUGAUUUUAAAUUUUGUCACUAAUUCAAAUUUUUGAAUAACUGUGUGAGCCAAUCUAAACACUGUUGUAGGCUAAGCUUCGAGCUAUCAAUCUGCCAUCUCUGAAGUAGGUAAACCAGGAUAGAGAGAUUUGGAGGAGGGAGGAGAAAUCUGGAGAGAAGUAGAGGAGGACUCCCGAAGGAGGGAAGGUGGAAUGGAG